UGUAAGGAGCGCCAGACUCCUGGACAGAGUGGGGUCAAUUUUCCCCUUAGUCACUGUCCUCUCCCCUCCCAAAUGGCCUCCCAUCUCGCUGGCUGGGGUGAUUCGGGGGUGACUUAGGGACAUCCUACACACCCCUGGAUUCUCUGGAAAUGGCAAGGGGUGGUGUGCUGUAUACCCCGGCCACCAGCACCCAUGGGAGGGGGGAAGGUUGUAGCAGACCCAGCGCCUGGGGUGGGGGUGGGGGUUGUUUCCCCAGCAUGGCCGAGGAGAGAGGGGUGCUGGGGUCCGUGGAGGAUCUAGAGGCGUGAGAGCCAGAGCUGCCGGGCACCUCUCCUGCCUGUACCCCCUCCCCGGCUGAGCCCUGCAGCCUGGCCCCAGGCCAAGAGCCGGCUCAGCAGGUCCCAGGGGUGUGGUGGCUACCAGCGGUGGAGCCAGCCUACGCUGGCCAGGCAAUCAGCAGAGGCAGCACAGUCCAUCAGGAGCAGCCGAGUGUGUGGCAGCGGGAGCCCAGAGAGGCAGCGUGACCAUGAGCUCUCUGCUCUCCUACGCCCUGCCCGCCCUGGGCAGCUAUGCCAUGCUGUCCAUCUUCUUCCUGCGCCGGCCUCGCCUGCUGCACACACCCUGGGCUCCAGUCUUCCUGCCACGCCUGGGGGCCCACCGAGCAGGAUCUGGAGAACUACUGGAAAACACCAUGGAGGCCAUGGAGAACUCCCUGGCCCAGCGAUCAGACUUCCUGGAGCUUGACUGCCAGUUGACACGAGAUGGCGUGGUGGUGGUAUCUCACGACAAGAACCUGUCCCGCCAGUCAGGCGUGAAUAGGGACGUGAGCAGCCUGGACUUUGAGGAGCUGCCCCUCUACAAGGAGGAGCUGGAGGUCUACUUCUCACCAGGUCGCUUUGCACACGGGUCGGACCGGCACAUGGUGAGUCUGGAGGACGUGUUCCAGAGGUUCCCUCGGAUGCCCAUGAGCGUGGAGGUCAAAGAGGAAAACGAAGAGCUCAUUAACAAGAUAGCAGGCCUGGUGAGGCACUUUGACCGAAAUGAAAUCACCGUCUGGGCCACGGAGAAGAGCUCGGUCAUGAAGAAGUGCAGGGCUGCUAACCCCGAGAUGCCGUUCUCCUUCACCAUCGGCCGAGCUAUCUGGUUGUUACUGCUCUAUUACCUGGGGUUGCUGCCCUUUGCAUCCAUCCCGGAGAGGUUUUUCUUCUGCUUCCUGCCCACCAUCAUCAAUAGGACCUACUUCCCAUUUUCCUGCUCUGGGCUGAACCAGCUGGCAGCUGUGAUUUCCAAAUGGUUAAUCAUGAGGAAAAGUCUGAUCCACCAUCUGGAGCAGCGAGGAGUGCAGGUGAGGCUUGACCUCCACGCCCUCAGCAAGUGGGUGAUUCACAGUGUGGGCCUAGCACAGCGUUCCAGUGAACAGCUCUGCUACCGAUUAACUGGGUCCCCUGGGCAGGUCACCUUCGGAGUCUCAGUCUCUUGAUUUGUGAAAUGGGGGUGAUGGUACAUUUAACUGGUACCUAGUAAUGGCUUGACAAGUGUAGCCAUUAUCAUUGAACCUACUGUCCUGAUUCCUGAGGAGGGGGUGAGUGGGGCUGGGGAAAAAAACCGGCCCGGCCCCUCCCCUGAGCAUCCACUUUGAUCAUUUAAUUAGCAAACCUUUGUUGAGAAUGGACUACAUUCCAGGCACUGUGGUACCAGGGGUGGAGCAGGGAGUCAAAUCAGGGGCAGAGGAAGGAAACGGGCACUCACAGGCACCAAGUGGACAGAAAGGAAAGAGCACUGUGGUCUGUGGGGUCACAGGAGGCCCUCUGGAAGAAAUGAGGAGCUGGCUCGCACGGAGGGGGAAAGGAGAGCAUCUCAGGCAGGCUCAGCCUGUGGGAAAGCUGCGGGGAGCAAGAGGCCAUGGCAGGAGGAGGAGGAGCUGAGAGAGGUUCCACCAGGCUGCGGUGUGUGGCGAGGGGAGCUGGAGGAGGCGGCCUAGGCUGAGGCAGGCGGCCUGUGAACCUCAGUAAGGAACCUGGACUUCAGCCUGGAGGACGGGAAGCUUUGGAGGGCCUGAAGCAGGGCAGAGACCUGAUCCAGUGGAGUCUGGGAUUAAGGGUCACUCUGGCCACCGAUGUGGAGAAGCGAUCAUGGGCGCCAGUGUAGGAGCAGAGUAUCUCAGGAGGCAGAUGCCGUCGCUGACUGGUCCUGGGCUGAGGCGUCAGCAGUGGGAUGGGUGGACCAGCUGGCUGACGGGCCAGCAGCACUCCACAGCGCCGAGGUGGGGGUGAGUGAGGCAUGGGGAGGACGCGCCUCUUUCAGAUUAGCACCUCCACAGCGCCUGCACUCCGUGGGCCUUCACCACAACUCUGGCGGUUGGCCCGUCGUUCCCAUUUGUCACGUUAAGAAACCGAAAGGUCCAGUGACGUGCCCAGGGUACAGACACCAUCUCUACCUACCGCCAUACCCACGAGAGAGGAUUCAGGCGGCAGGACAGACACAGAGCAGCAGCAGAUUCGGGCAGGCCUGGAGACCUCACAGCCGGCUUUCCAGGGGAGGGGGAACAAAAUGCUCUCAUUUGAGCAAUAGACGAUUUAUUUCCCUGGCUGUGCAUCCUCUCACCUUGUCCGAUUUCAGGCCACCAACGUGACGUCACUGAGCAUAGAGUUGGGUAGUAUUUCCACCUUACACAUUCAGCAGAUGCGAACAACCGCCAGAGCGUGGUCUUUUGGUGCCUUAAUGAAGAGUCGGAUUUUGAAGUGGCCUAUGCCCUGGGGGCCAGUGGCGUCAUGACAGAUUACCCCACAGCCCUGAGGCGCUACCUGGACAAUCAUGGAGGAGCUGCCCAGGCCUCCUAACAGCCCGGAGGCCCUCACCCUCUCCUCUAUUUCUCUUCUUCAAUAAAUAUUUUCUUUUCA
Acinonyx jubatus (cheetah) is the source of this 2900-nucleotide RNA transcript. It is a transcript of the gene named glycerophosphodiester phosphodiesterase domain containing 3, with no coding region annotated. Lineage: Eukaryota; Metazoa; Chordata; Mammalia; Carnivora; Felidae. The transcript has 10 exons. The record is from RefSeq and is a predicted model, not a curated record.